CCUACGGGAGGCAGCAGUGGGGAAUAUUGCACAAUGGGGGAAACCCUGAUGCAGCGACGCCGCGUGAAGGAAGAAGUAUCUCGGUAUGUAAACUUCUAUCAGCAGGGAAGAUAGUGACGGUACCUGACUAAGAAGCCCCGGCUAACUACGUGCCAGCAGCCGCGGUAAUA
RNAcentral lists this ribosomal RNA (170 nucleotides) under uncultured Ruminococcus sp. RNAcentral's name for it is "partial 16S ribosomal RNA". It matches the Rfam family "Bacterial small subunit ribosomal RNA", at positions 338 to 525 of the family's 1533-position model. The record is from RNAcentral. Lineage: Bacteria; Bacillati; Bacillota; Clostridia; Eubacteriales; Oscillospiraceae.